RNAcentral lists this ribosomal RNA (484 nucleotides) under uncultured bacterium. RNAcentral's name for it is "bacterial SSU rRNA". It matches the Rfam family "Bacterial small subunit ribosomal RNA", at positions 40 to 518 of the family's 1533-position model. The record is from RNAcentral.
CGACAGGCCUAACACAUGCAAGUCGAGGGGCAGCACAAGGAGCAAUCUGAGGUGGCGACCGGCGCACGGGUGAGUAACACGUAUGCAACCUGCCUGUAAGCGGGGAAUAACCCGUUGAAAGACGGACUAAUACCGCAUAAUACUAAAUUACUGCAUGGUAAUUUAUUUAAACAUUUAUGGCUUACAGAUGGGCAUGCGCAUGAUUAGCUAGUUGGAGAGGUAACGACUCCCCAAGGCAACGAUCAUUAGGGGUUCUGAGAGGAAGGUCCCCCACACUGGUACUGAGACACGGACCAGACUCCUACGGGAGGCAGCAGUGAGGAAUAUUGGUCAAUGGACGAGAGUCUGAACCAGCCAAGUCGCGUGCAGGAAGAAAUGUCCUAUGGAUUGUAAACUGCUUUUGCAGGGGAAUAAAGUGCAUCACGUGUGAUGUUUUGUAUGUACUCUGCGAAUAAGGAUCGGCUAACUCCGUGCCAGCCGCCGC